Molecule: non-coding RNA, 103 nt
Organism: Acanthosepion pharaonis
Lineage: Eukaryota; Metazoa; Mollusca; Cephalopoda; Sepiida; Sepiidae
Source: the annotation of a GenBank genome assembly
CAGUCAUAUUACGUUGAAACGCCGUUUCUCAUACGAUAACCGAAGUUAAGCUAUGUCGAGCCUGGUCAGUAUCUCGAUGGGUGACCGCUCGGGAAUACUAGGU